GUGUGGCUUUUUCACCUCAAAAUAAGGUCAGUAGUAUCUUAUAAAAUGAGGAAGGUGCCACCCCUUAGUACUUCUGAUGAUAACAUAGUUUUCAAAAGCUGUUGCAGUUUUGGGGGGGAGGGGUUUCCUUUUCAAUAGCCAUCUAAAUCAACUCUUCCAAUACAGGCUCGGAAUCCAGUAUUAGGAGUACAGUCUUUUUUUACUCACGAAGAUUAGACCUCCCUUACAAAGCACCCCGUCCUCGUUUCUCUCCGCUUCCGCUGCUCAGUCCGGUGAGAAUCUCACGCCCCCCCACCCCGCCUUCCAGGUGAAGCCACCAGAUGCCCAGGCAUGUCCUCAGGCCAUUUCUGAGUGAGUCAGGCAGGCAGGGGUUGUGGUCACACGGGCAGGAGGAAUUCUCCACCCCUUCCCCAGCCCCAGCCUCACUGAUGAGGACACCAGCCUGCGGGGAGGGAGGGACAAAUGGAAACGCUCCCGCCUCUCAUCCAACCACAGAUAGAUGCGCAGGGGUGGCCGGCCUCCUCCCACCCUCACACACUCCCCCCACUCUACCUUCCAGAAGGUCGGGUUUGCGGUGAGGUUGGGGACCUUCUAUGUGUCCCCCGAUGAAGGGUUUGGGUUCAGUCUGCUCGAACGGGGAUGAAAUCCAGCUGGAUCCCCGCAUACUACAGAUGUCUUUCCAGAACGUUCUAUAGCACACAGUGAUGAUCUGCCAGCCUCCGAGAUGACUGAUGUUGGCUCUCGAAUGGAGAGAUUAAGCCAAAUACCUGGUGUGUUGUGAAGCCAUCGAGUUGCAGGGCUGGAGAGAAAGGGUGGAUCUUUACUGAGGCUCUCUUUGUGUGACAUAAAACCAGAGACCCAGGCAGGAUGUCGCUCUUCCCUAAGAUUAGAGCAUCUCAUUCCGUUCACCCAGGUUUAAGGACUCAGGCUCUUAUUGUCCAAAGAAUCUUACAGUUGAAUUAUGGAGGGGAAAUUCCCCUUUGCCCCCAGGAUUUCUGUAUUUAAAGCAAUAUCCUGUAAGAGUCUGUAAGACUUAGGCCGACACCUUCAGCCACUUGAAGAAAUAGAAGGUGGCAAUUCCAAUGUAGUCUUCACUGUCCAUCCAGAUAUUACCGUUAUUGGUUUUCUGUUCACCCCCUUAAUGGCAAAGGUUCUUCUCAUUGGUUCUUUGAGAGAAUACCUGAGUGAUGCCGAUACCAGGGAUACAGCAUUUACAAACUGCAGACCUGAAAGAUUUCAGGUUCAAUUUAGGCAACUUUGAUGGAGCACCUGCUAGACACCCCGAGAGAUUCCCAAGAAUCGGGCACCAUCCUUGCCCUCCAAGAGCGUAUCUCCUACCUGCAGAAUCUAUCUAGCAUGAAAUUUCUCACUUCAACACUAAGCACUAGGGGGGACGAAAAUUUCACCUGGGACCAAACCAGAAGUGCGUCCCUGAUCUGAAUAGCUGGCCUUUCCCUGCUGCCAUCGUGGGAGGUCUUGGCUUGCAAAAUGAGAAACUGGGAAAGGAGAACUCAGAAGAAUGCCGCAGGGGAGCAAACUUGCCUCCACCUGGGUCCGAGGCAGACAGUCUCACUUGUACCUUGAAAUUCUCUAGCGUCUACUCUUCCCUGCACCUUGAGGUAACCAGGGUGCUUCCUCUCCAUCAGAAGACAGCAGUGGCAAUUGGCUGGACGGGCUACGUGGAAGUAAUGCUAUCUCUAAGAUCUUUCUGUCCCGAGGCAACUCUGUCGUGCCUAAGGUAGCAUCACCGAUGUUCCACAUCCUUUGAGGGGCGGGGGUGUCCCCACAGGAAAAGAGGAGUAACAACUGAUGGAUUUUUUCUCUUUUCAGCAGUAUGUCUGGAACCCCCUGCUCCAUCAUCUUACACUGAUACCUUGGUCCAAGUGAGAAUGUAGAUUUAGCAGAAACUUAAAUGGCUUGGACGGGAUGUACCUAAAUGCCUAAGUAACCACACCUCCUCCGCCAUUCACUGCCUAGGAUCCAACUCUGAAUACAUGUCUGAAACAUUAGCUCCCCUUUUGAAGAAGGGAAAUCUGAGUAUCAGAGAGGUCCUGUGACUUGUCCUAGGAGCAGACGGCAUGCCAGGGACAGAAUGAGGAUUGGGACCCAGCCUGGCCAUACCCCGAUCUGACCCAUUCCCACCCAGGAAGCUGAAGAUAAAAAUUGGGGGAAAUACACAAAGAACAAAAGGCAGUUUCUUUGCCCAAACAUUCGGUGCUAGUUAGUUUUCACCCACUCAACCUGUUUCUCUUCUGAACAGUAAUGAAGGGAGUGAUCCAAGGAGCCGGGAGUGGGGUGGGAAGGGGGGUGACAAUGGUCCCUGCCUGCCUAAAAACCACAGAAGACUAACCUGAUACCCUUUGGGCCCCAUCUGCAUCAACACUAAACAACGACAAACUCCCCGAAUCUUUCAUACAUGCCAAGUGAACAUUCUUGAAGAUUUCUCUUUGUGACUGCAACCACCUGCAAACGAGGACGAAUCUAGAAUUUUUUUUUUAAUUUCUAAUCUCUUGUUGUUUAUGAGGUGUGGGGUUUAUAAGGGACUGAAUCAAAUGAAUGUA
RNAcentral lists this long non-coding RNA (2561 nucleotides) under Phocoena sinus (vaquita). RNAcentral describes it as "lncRNA (ENSPSNG00000006312.1)". The record is from RNAcentral. Lineage: Eukaryota; Metazoa; Chordata; Mammalia; Artiodactyla; Phocoenidae.